GCUUCUGUGUACCUUCAAUGCAGCAGAAUUUUAUAUGGAGUGUAGAUUGAUGUGGGAUGAAAAAAUUAAUUUAAAGCAGUUUAACGUAAGGCAGCAACAUAACAAAAUGUGAAAAAAUGAAGGGGUAUGAAUUAUUUCGCAAGGCACUGUACAUUUUCUGAAUUGGCAUUGAGGUCCAGAUGGUGUAAGAAACAUAGAUGGUUGAAAUACAAAAUAAACAUUUUAUUUGAGAGUAUGGACACUAAACUGCUCUAUAAUGCUUUUCUUGAGUAAAGUAGUUCUAUGAUAUACACAUUUAUAUUUAAAUAGAACCCUCAAAUCUUUUUUAUCAUAAACAGGAGAUGAGACGCCAAUAUUUAGAGGCACAGGAAAAGAGUCGACUACAGGUAGAUGUUAUUUUAAAAAAUAUAACUAUUGUUUUGUUUUGUUGAAGUAAAAAAUGUACUGCAUUCACGUAACCUUGGUCGCAUAAUAGGCAAUUGAAGACAGACGGAAGAGGAUUGCAAGUCACGAGGAGCCCAUUGAUGGUGUGCCCAUCAAAUUCAAGUUUCCUCAUGGAUCCGAAAAAAUUCGAAAAUUCAUUUUGUCAGAGUCAAUUCAGAUCUUAUUUUACUUUGUUGGUCAGGAUGACCUGUCCAGUGAAGUGUUUUAUGUUCAAGAUGCGACAUCAUCUGCACCUCUUGAAAAUAACCUUACAGGAACACUGAAUGAUUACAACAUCAAGGGUCAUUCAACUCUUUAUGUUGUUUGGAUUUCACCACUAGAUUCCCAUGAAAGUCAAGGUAAACAGAACGAAGCAAGCAUUCAAGUGAAUUCUGGUAAAGUCCAUUUCACCUCAUCCUUUUCCAACCAGCUUGCAUCACCACAUGAACCGACUACUUCUUUGCCACUGAAUGAUUGUCAUUCCCCAUCACCCCCAAACUGGUCACCUGCUCCUUCACCUUCUCACACAUAUCACUGGUCACCUGAACGCUCUCUUCCCACUCAGCCAUCCUCUGUAACAACUGACAAUUGUGAAAAUAUUUUGGAUCAAGUUGAUCUGCAGAUGAUUUUGAAGAAGCUUCAUAGCAGAGUUGAUCUCUCAUGUUGUCCUACAAGCAAUCAAAUAAAUGUAUGUCGAGACAGCAUAUUACAAGGUAGCCUGCAAGCUUUCAAACGAAGGCACUUUAAUCCAGAAGCAAGGCUGGAUGUGAUUUUUGUGGACUUGAUGGGGUUGGAGAAGGAGCUGUAGAUGAAGGUGGACCAACCAGGGAAUUCCUACGCUUGCUAAUGAGGGAAAUCCAGAGGUCCAAAAUAUUUGAAGGACCGGAAGACAAAAGACUACUGGCUCUUGAUACUCAUGCUCUUGAGAAUGGCUUGUAUAUGACUAUUGCAAAAAUGAUUGCAGUGUGCAUAGUUCAUGGUGGAGUUGGCCCUCAUUUUUUUUCUGAUCAUCUUUUUAUGCAACUCUGUGGGUCAGUGUACACUUCCUGUUUCCCUUGAGGAAAUAGCAGACAAGCUUCAGAGAAAAACUCUCAAAGGUUAUUGUAACUUUAGACUUGUCUCAUCUACACAGGGAUUUUUUAUUGUAUCAUUUGUAAUGGGUGCUUUGUGAUUUCAUGGCAUAACAAUUUUCUAAUUAUUUACUUGUAGAUUAAAGAAGCAGACUCUGUUGAACACGCAAAUUCUGCAAUCUCAGAUGCUGGAGACAGUCUGUACAUGAUGGGAGCACUUAGGUACAUCUCAUCUCUUGAAGAGAGGGAUUCCCUGGUCCAAUCUGCAGCAGAAUACUUUGUGAAUGGGCGGACAAAUUUGGCUCUCAGACAAUUUGAAGAGGGUUUCAAAACACUUGGUCUGAUUCAAGAGCUCAAGAACCAUCCUGACAUUUUUGAGGACUUGUUCAUCAAUGCAGUCAGACCACUUGAGGCAAAAGAUCUGUCCACUCUUUUUAAGGUGGACUUUUCACCCCUUGGUAGCAACAAAAGGGAGCUGGAAAAUAAGACAGUCUGUUUCUGGAGAGACUGGUUAAUUGAUGUAGAAGAAGGUGACUGCAAUCGGUUGACACUGUCAAUGGUAAUGGAGUUUGCUUCAGGAGCCUCAUCUGUGCCUCCACUAGGAUUCACCCAUCAGCCAAAAAUCUAA
Cyprinus carpio (common carp) is the source of this 2121-nucleotide long non-coding RNA. The record is from Ensembl. Lineage: Eukaryota; Metazoa; Chordata; Actinopteri; Cypriniformes; Cyprinidae.